AGAGUUUGAUCCUGGCUCAGGACGAACGCUGGCGGCGUGCUUAACACAUGCAAGUCGAACGAUGAACCAGGGCUUGCCCUGGGGAUUAGUGGCGAACGGGUGAGUAACACGUGGGCAACCUGCCCCUGACUUUGGGAUAACUCCGGGAAACCGGGGCUAAUACCGAAUAUGAACCUCGACGGCAUCGUCGAGGUUGGAAAGUUUUUCGGUCAGGGAUGGGCCCGCGGCCUAUCAGCUUGUUGGUGGGGUAAUGGCCUACCAAGGCGACGACGGGUAGCCGGCCUGAGAGGGCGACCGGCCACACUGGGACUGAGACACGGUCCAGACUCCUACGGGAGGCAGCAGUGGGGAAUAUUGCGCAAUGGGCGAAAGCCUGACGCAGCGACGCCCGCGUGAGGGACGACGGCCCUUAGGGUUGGAAAACCUCUUUCAGCACGGACGAAGCGAAAGUGACGGUUCCUGCAGAGGAAGCACCCGGCCAACUACGUGCCAGCAGCCGCGGUA
This 504-nucleotide ribosomal RNA is filed under the name uncultured Actinomycetes bacterium. RNAcentral describes it as "bacterial SSU rRNA". It matches the Rfam family "Bacterial small subunit ribosomal RNA", at positions 8 to 522 of the family's 1533-position model. The record is from RNAcentral. Lineage: Bacteria; Bacillati; Actinomycetota; Actinomycetes.